Molecule: ribosomal RNA, 465 nt
Filed under: uncultured bacterium
Lineage: Bacteria
Description: partial 16S ribosomal RNA
Rfam family: Bacterial small subunit ribosomal RNA
Source: RNAcentral
GACGAACGCUGGCGGCGUGCUUAACACAUGCAAGUCGAACGGAAAGGCCCCUUUUGGGGUACUCGAGUGGCGAACGGGUGAGUAACACGUGAGUAACCUGCCCUUGCCUUCGGGAUAACUUCAGGAAACUGGGGCUAUUACCGGAUAGGAAUCCUUGCUGCAUGUUGGGGUUUGGAAAGCUUCGGCGGUUUUGGAUGGACUCGCGGCUUAUCAGCUUGUUGUUGGGGUAGUGGCUUACCAAGGCUUUGACGGGUAGCCGGCCUGAGAGGGCGACCGGCCACAUUGGGACUGAGAUACGGCCCAGACUCCUACGGGAGGCAGCAGUGGGGAAGAUUGCACAAUGGGCGGAAGCCUGAUGCAGCAACGCCGCGUGCGGGAUGACGGCCUUCGGGUUGGAAACCGCUUUCAGCAGGGGCGAAGCUUGUGGUGACGGUACCUGCAGAAGAAGCACCGGCUAACUACGUG